This 519-nucleotide ribosomal RNA is filed under the name uncultured eukaryote. RNAcentral's name for it is "SSU rRNA". It matches the Rfam family "Eukaryotic small subunit ribosomal RNA", at positions 1161 to 1705 of the family's 1831-position model. The record is from RNAcentral.
AGGGCACCACCAGGAGUGGAGCCUGCGGCUUAAUUUGACUCAACACGGGAAAACUCACCCGGCCCGGACACCGUAAGGAUUGACAGACUGAGAGCUCUUUCUUAAUUCGGGGGGUGGUGGUGCAUGGCCGUUCUUAGUUGGGGGAGCGAUUUGUCUGGUUAAUUCCGAUAACGAACGAGACUCUGGCCUAUUAAAUAGACGAUAUAUUAAAAAGUAUAUCGCACUUCUUAGAGGGACAAGCGGCGUCUAGCCGCAUGAAAUAGAGCAAUAACAGGUCUGUGAUGCCCUUAGAUGUCCGGGGCUGCACGCGCGCUACACUGAAAGAAUCAGUGGGCGUUAAACCUAGUUCGGAAGAACCGGGUAACCCAAGUAAAUUCUUUCGUGCUUGGGAUAGGGAAUUGCAAUUAUUUCCCUUAAACGAGGAACUCCCAGUAAAUUCGGGUCAUAAGCUCGAGUUGAUUACGUCCCUGCCCUUUGUACACACCGCCCGUCGCUACUACCGAUUGGAUGACUAGUGAG